AGCAACAAUUAUUUACCAAUAUUGAGUGUAUUGAGCAACAUUGGAUUGAGUAUCUCAAUUUCUCGGGCCGUGCGGUUUUGUAUAUUCUGAAACUUUUGGUUUGGCUGCAUUCAAUCCAGAGAAGCUGCGUUUUACAUAUACUACCCAGAGGCGAAAAUAGUUAUUGGAGAGUAAACACUCUCCAUAACUACUACUAUUCACGCGCUCAAGAAUGAGUUUCCUAAAAGGCUUCCUCACAGGCCUAACCUUCACAACCGCCACCCUCACCCUCACCGUUCAUCUGCAUCUCGCAAACCGGCAACAGCAGCACCUCCUCCUGCGCGAGCAGAUAGAUUCCAUAAACGCCAUAGCAUUAUUGCCAACCUCCACUGUCGCUACCGAUACCAGCAACAGAAGAGUUUACGCAUCCCACACACGAAAUACGUCAGCCGACGACACCGAUGCCAUCGCAGCCGUCCUGGCGCGGAGGGGAUAUUACCCGCGCGAACGCCCGGGGAUUAUGGAUUUGGCGAAGGAGAGAUGGAAUAGAGAGCUUGAGGGGUG
RNAcentral lists this small RNA (543 nucleotides) under Histoplasma ohiense. RNAcentral describes it as "hypothetical lncRNA". The record is from RNAcentral. Lineage: Eukaryota; Fungi; Ascomycota; Eurotiomycetes; Onygenales; Ajellomycetaceae.